AAUCCGCUCGUCUAUCUCUCUCUCAAUCAAAACCAUGGAGGGCCGCCUACUCGGAGUCACCAGAUCCAAUUUCAAGUCCUUCGCCGGACCGAAGAAACUCCGAGGUGAGAUCCGGACUCCUAUCUCUUGCUAUGCUUUUUAACUUUGUUUGUUUUUGUUUUUAGGGUCUUUGAGGAAGAAAAAGAUUAUCUGUAAUUCCGAAUUUGCAGCUUAGUUAAGGUCUCUGCUUUCAAUCUGCAUAUGUUUUUAGGGUUACGGUGCUUGAAUUUAAUUGACAUGAUGCCUAAUUUUUUGUUUUCAUAAUAAUUCCCAUGUAUUAUUGUUUUCUUUGGUUUCAUUUAAUUAUUAAUAGCUCUAGGGAUUCAGAUCAGAAUCAAUUAGGUAUCUCAACUUUGUUUAAUUCCUGGUUACCGAGUAGAAUGUUAAACCAAAUUUUGUAGCUAGGCAAGAUUUUAAUUUCACUAUCAAUUAAGUAUAUUCGCAAUUCUGUUUGAUUAUCCUUGUUACUUUCCUUGUGUAGAAUUAACUCUCAACAAAUUUCUUACUUUACGUAGGAAUUUCAAGUAGCUAUUUAUACAUAUUUUGAUGGGGUGGAACAAUUUGGUUGGACUUAGUUGAUCAUAUUUUAUUAAUCAAUUUGGUUGGACUGAGUUUUUUGUUUAUUCAUUUUUUAUUUUUAGAAUUUGAUGGGAGUAGAACAGCCUUUGUUGCUAUUGUACUCUUUUCUGGAGUUGGUGUGGCUGUAGAAUCGAGGAUUACAUCUCUUCCUCCAUUGACCAAGAGUGAUAUUCAUUCUUCUUUUUUCUUUUUUUUGUAUUGUUUUAUUCCGUUCUAGUGUUUUUUUUGUUACUUUAUUGUUAAUAUCAUUUGUUUUUAUGUUUUUCAGCUUUAUAUCCUCAGCAUAAACUUCACAUUAUUAGAGAUGAUCGUCCUGUUUUAGCAGGAUGGUGCCAUUCUAAUAUUGAGGGGAUGACGCUAAUUGAUCAUUUGAAAAGUAAUGCGAAAAAGAAAAAUCUUAAAAAUAUAGUAAAAACCUGGCAGAGACUAUCUGAGCACUAAGACUGAAAGAUUUAAUGUCUAGUGCUACGGUUGAACGAGGGGUAUGUUACUAAUUUGUUAGAUUUAAUAUUAUGGUAUCUUGAUUCGAUUCACUUUUAUAGUUAUUAAUUUUGCUUUUUUGGUUUAUUUUGGUUGUGCUACGUAGUAGUCCCUAGCUCACAUUAUCAAUCGUUUUUGUGACACUCUGGGGUAUGCAAAUUUUGUGAGCUAGGGGAUCCUACAUAUCACAACCAAAAUAAAUUAAAAAAGCAAAAUUACUAUAAAAGUGAAUCGAAUCAAUCGAAUCAAGAUACCAUAAUAUUAAAUCUAACAAAUUAGUAACGUACCUCUCGUUCAACCGAGGGUUGAUCUCAGAAAUCGAAGAGGCGUUUGCUUUCUCAAAAGUUGGGCUGCUCAAAGACCACGAAGGCCGAUCUCAGAAAUCGAAGAGGCGCUCGCUUUCUCAAAAGCUGGGCUACUCAGAGACCACGAGGGCCGAUCUCAGAAAUCGAAGAGGCACCUACUUUUCCAGCCUUGUCAGCAUCUGUCACACGCACACUCAGCUUUGCGGAAAUUAUGGGCAUUCUGUCGAAGACUUCUGGGGAAGUAGAAAACACAUGAAUCUUACUGUUCAAUCACCCACUUUCCACACGCAACAAUAGCUCAUGGGUACCACAGAUAACUUUGCCAAAAUUGAGUACGUGAAGCUUGCAGCUCCCACUACAUCGUUCUGACCAAGAAGGGUAAAAGAAUAGCAAAGAAACAGCACUAACAAAGUUUAGACCUAUAAAUUUUGAAGGUCUAGCUACCAUAUUAUUACCCACAAGGGUAAAGGAACAGUACCACUGCUGGAUAAUUGGAAAGUCCCUGUGUGUCAACCUCUGUGCUUCGAGGCAAGGUAGACUAGCAAACAUGCCCAACCUUUACUCACAUUCGAGAAAACACUCCCAAUAAGAUUGCUUGCUCCAAAAUCGAAGAGGCACCGUCCUCCGAAUCUCGAGAGCCAGACUCCCAACAUGACUACUUUCUUAAAAAUCGAAGAGAGGGUAAAGGAACAGUACCAUUGCUGGAUAAUUAGAAAGUCCCUGUGUGUCAACCUCUGUGCUUCGUGGCAAGGUAGAAUAGCAAACAUGCCCAACCUUUACUCACAUUCGAGAAAACACUCCCAACAAGAUUGCUUGCUCCAAAAUCGAAGAGGCACCGCCCUCCGAAUCUCGAGAGCCAGACUCCCAACAUGAUUACUUUCUCAAAAAUCGAAGAGACUGCUCCCCGAAUCUUCGAGAGCCAGACCCCCAGCAUGAUUGCUUUCUCAAAAAUCGAUAAGGCAUCGUUCUCCGAAUCAAUCGAAGAGACACUCGCUUUCUCAAAAGCUGGGCUGCUCAGAGACCACGAGGGCCGAUCUCAGAAAUCGAAGAGGCACCUACUUUUCUAGCCUUGUCAGCACCUGUCACACGCACACUCAGCUUUGCAGAAAUUAUGGGCAUUCUGUCGAAAACUUCUGGUGAAGUAGAAAGCACAUGAAUCUUACUGUUCAAUCACCCACUUCCCACACGCAACAAUAGCUCAUGGGUACCACAGAUAACUUUGCCAAAGUUCUCUGCCAAAGUUGAGCACGUGAAGCUUGCAGCUCCCACUACAUCGCUCUGACCAAGAAAGGUAAAAGAAUAGCAAAGAAACAGCACUAACAAAGUUUAGACACAUAAAUUUUGAAGGUCUAGCUACCAUAUUAUUACCCACAAGGGUAAAGGAACAGUACCACUCUGCUGGAUAAUUGGAAAAUCCCUGUGUGUGUCAACCUCUGUGCUUCGUGGCAAGGUAGACUAGCAAACAUGCCCAACCUUUACUCACAUUCGAGAAAAACACUCCCAACAAGAUUGCUUGCUCCAAAAUCGAAGAGGCACCGUCCUCCGAAUCUCGAUCUCGAGAGCCAGACUCCCAACAUGACUACUUUCUCAAAAUCGAAGAGAGGGUAAAGGAACAGUACCAUUGCUGGAUAAUUGGAAAGUCCCUGUGUGUCAAUGUGUCAACCUUUGUGCUUCGUGGCAAGGUAGACUAGCAAACAUGCCCAACCUUUACUCACAUUCGAGACAACACUCCCAACAAGAUUGCUUGCUCCAAAAUCGAAGAGGCACCGCCCUCCAAAUCUCGAGAGCCAGACUCCCAACAUGAUUACUUCCUCAAAAAUCGAAGAGACACUGCUCUCCGAAUCUCGAGAGCCAGACCCCCAGCAUGAUUGCUUUCUCAAAAAUCGAAGAGGGCAUCGUUCUCCGAAUCUCGAGAGCCAGAUACCACAGACCACUUUUUUUCAAAGUGCUCUGACAGAGUUAAAACAUGUGAAACUGCUCCCACUACUGUGCUAUGACCAAGCAGGGUAAAGGAAUAGCAUUACUACUUGUUGUUAGGGAGACUCCUAUAUAUGUCGACCUCCAUCCCCAACGGACAGGCAGACCUGCAAAAAUGCUCAACCCUUCAUCAUAUCUGAGAGGGCACUCCCAACGAAGCCUUUCGAAAUAUUCAGCUUUCUUUCCCCCCGAUAAUACCUCUGCAAACAAGCUAUACUAGAGCAAGAAUAUCUCAUAUCAUCAGGGUUAAAAGCAAGAGUAUCCCAUAUCAUGCUUUUUCCCUGUCUUUUCCUUUGGCCUUGUUUUUUACCUGCAAGACAAUGAGAAAGAGAGCAAUCAGUCAGCACUUGGAAUCAAGCUUCCAGCCAGGAACUGACUGCCUGGAACCCCUUACCUGAUUACUUACCUGACAUUGCUCUCGAGUACUCAUCUUCAACAUCUUAUGUUUCCAGGGAAGAUUCCGCAUCUGCUUGAGGAACAGAUAGGGCAAGUGCGAAGGAUACAAGGAAGCAUGUGGAGACAAGCGUAACAGCACACGUGCCGAUACAUCCAUUACUCUGUCAAAAGCAAAAGUAUCCCAUAUCAGCAGGGUGGAACGUACUCUAGAUUUGAUGGACUUGUUUUGACCCUCAAAUUCUCCAGUCGGCCUUAUACUCUGGAGGAAACCAGAAAACCCUUCAGCUCAGUUCAAGAAUAAGCCUGUGGAAAGUUACUUCUUCAAAAGCAAAAGUAUCUUAUAUCAUCUCUUCUCAUUUUUCUUCUCUUUAUCCUUCAUGCUGCUGCAAGAUGGGGAGAAGGUGAACAAUCAGUCGGAGCUCUGAUUGCUUACCUUGUCUGUCACCUCUUUCAGCAGACCCCCUAGCUCGGCGACUUGGGGGACUCCUACUACAUGGUUUGUAUCGCGCUUGACCAAGCCUGAAACUACAAGUAAGCUUCAAGUGAAAUUGAUACAUUACCUUGUGCAUCUCCACCAAUUAAAGAUACCACCCCUGGAUGGAGGAAGAGUACUUCCAGAGAAGAUGCCACAUCUACCUAUGAGACAGAUAAGGCAAGUCAAGACGACACCACACUCCGAUACUUAGAAGUUUCGUGAUUACGAGAUCAUUCUCCCAUAAUAUUUCCUAAUGUCAUUUGUAAUAAAUCAUUCACUUGUACUUACUAAAGGAGAGCUUGAACCUAUGUACUUGUGUAAACCCUUCACAAUUAAUGAGAACUCUUCUAUUCCGUGGACGUAGCCAAUCUGGGUGAACCACGUACAUCUUGUGUUUGCUUUCCUAUCUCUAUCCAUUUAUAUACUUAUCCACACUAAUGACCGGAGCAAUCUAGCGAAGAUCACAAAAAGCGACCGUUUUCGCUACCUAGGAUCUAUCUUGCAAGAGAACGGAGAAUUAGAUGGAGAUCUCAACCAUAGAAUACGAGCUGGAUGGAUGAAGUGUAAGAGUGCAUCCGGCGUGUUGUGUGACCGUCGUAGGCCACUGAAGCUCAAGGGAAAAUUUUAUAGGACGGCAAUAAGGCCAGCGAUGUUGUAUGGCACAGAAUGUUGGGUGGUGAAGCAUCAACACGUACACAAAAUGGGUGUAGCGGAGAUGAGGAUGCUUCGUGGGAUGUGUGGGCACACGAGAAAUGAUAAGAUUGGGAAUGAGGAUAUCCGAGGUAAAGUAGGAGUAGCCGAAAUUGUAGGAAAGAUGAGAGAAAAUCGGCUCCGGUGAUUUGGACAUGUGCAAAGAAGGCCGACUGACGCUCCGGUUCGAAGAUGUGACUACGGGACAGAGGUUCAGGGCCGAAGGGGUAGAGGAAGACCUAGGAAAACUUUGGAAGAGACUCUAAGAAAAGACUUAGAGUACUUGGAUCUAACGGAGGACAUGACACAAAACCGAGCGCAAUGGCGUUCUAGGAUUCAUAUAGCCGACCCCACUUAGUGGGAAAAGGCUUUGUUGUUGUUAUUGUACCCCUCGUUCAACCGAGCAUACGUAGCACUGGACAUUAAAUCUUUCAGUCUUGGUGCUCAGAUAGUCUCUGCCAAGUUUUACAAUAUUUUAAAGAUUUUUCUUUUUCGCAUUACUUUUCAAAUGAUGAAUUAGCGCCAUCCUCUCAAUAUUAGAAUGACACCAUCCUGCUAAAACAGGAGGAUCAUCUCUAAUAAUGUGAAGUUUAUGUUGAGGAUAUAAAGUUGAAAAACACAAAAACAAACGAUAUUAACAAUAAAGUAACAAAAACACUAGAACUGAAUAAAACAAUACAAAAAAGAAAGAAUAUCACUCUUGGUCAAUGGAGGAAGAUAUGUAAUCCUUGAUUCUACUGCCACACCAACUCCAGAAAAGAGUACAAUAGCAACAAAGGCUGUUCCACUCCCAUCAAAUUCCAAAAAUUGGUUUUAGAAUCUUGCAAGGGCUUAUAAAAUGUUUGGCUACCUCCUCAUAUUACCAAUUGGUUUUAUGUUUGAACCUCAACUUUCUUCAAUAUGAAUUCCAUUACAUGUUUAAGAACUUAUUCAAAUAAUUCUAUGUGCUUAUGGGAAGGAGAAAAUUUAGUGUAAGACUUUCUACACAAGUGGGUCGUCGAACCGUUCAAUAUUGAUAUAAACAUAUUGAUACAUUAUUAUUGACAUGUCGUCUACAUGAUUGAUACUAUUAGUUUUUCAAUUCUAUAAAUGUCGACGUCGAUAAAAGUCUAGAAGAAAAUAAAUGAAGAUGGGAUAGCAUCUUAUCGCAUGGUUAGAUAAGUUACAUGAUCAAUCCUAAAACCCUACCCACAUGCUUUAAGUUAUUCUACUUGGUUGAGAGUCUUGUGACGAAUUCAUACUCCAACACAUGUUUAAAUUUUUGUUAUUGUAGCUAACUAAAUAACCCAAAUGUUAGUUUAGCGAGUGCAACUUAAAAUGUUUUAAUAUUAAUUUUUUCUAAACUAACAACCCAAGCUUUUUUCUUCUCUUGAAGCCCAUCAAUUAUUGUCUUUGUGCAUGUAGAAGGUUCCAAAAAUUUUCAUUGUUAAGUACUUUUUCGGAUGAAUUUUUUUUUCCGUGUGAUAGGAACAUAGUCUAGUAUAUAAAACGUAAUAAUAUUAUUGGGUGAAAAUUUGAAAAAUGAAAAUUUCAACUAGUUAAUAUACCUAACUAUAUCCCUGCAAAUUGAAUAUCGCUUCUUGAGACCUACUCCAACCUUUGGAGUAAAACUUAAAUUUUAGGUUCUAAACUUACCCUAACUUGCUCCAACCACUGGGGCAAAUAUGAGUUAAAACUCAAAACUCAAUUUUGGGGCAAAUUUAGCCCAGGAUUCUCCCUUGGGUUAGUGAGGUUGACUCACCAUAUAUGUAUAUAUUUUGUAGUUUUAGAUUUGUAAAUUCAUUGAAUCUGACGGUUAAUAUCUAAUUUAAUCAAAUCUAACGGUAAAAAAAAUAUCAAACGGUCCAAAUUUAAAUCCAACGGCUAAAGUAAUUAAAAAUAAAAUUUUACGUGUUUCAUAUUCUUUGGUAGUGUUCCAUGGGUUUCAUGAUGUCGGUUUAAUGAUUUUUCAAUAUUUAUCGGAAUCUAAAUAUUUUUUUUAAGUUACUUUAAGAAAAAAAUUAUCCUAAAGUCAUUCUUUAAUAAUAUCGGGCUAAUAUUUUAACCCCUUAAAGGUUGGAG
Molecule: long non-coding RNA, 7002 nt
Filed under: Malus domestica (apple)
Lineage: Eukaryota; Viridiplantae; Streptophyta; Magnoliopsida; Rosales; Rosaceae
Description: long non-coding RNA (MDOM_LNC006432)
Source: RNAcentral